AAAUCUCAAGAAGUAGCUACCCACAUGAGCAAUAGAGGAUGAGGUAAAUAAAACCAAAACAAUCUACUUGAAGGUUGAAGCACAUCCUUAACACCUAGACAGAUGUAAAGAACUUGGGAACCUCCCAGCCACCAGGUGAGUCUGCUGGGCUAUGGAUCUCUAGAGCAGCACAUCAAAAAACCUGCCACCCUGUUGUCAGCUAUCAGCAGAAAGUUUCCUGAGGAAGGAUGCAACUAUCAACGCUUUAAAUGGUCACAUUUGGGGGAUGACCAC
Molecule: long non-coding RNA, 273 nt
Organism: Coregonus clupeaformis (lake whitefish)
Lineage: Eukaryota; Metazoa; Chordata; Actinopteri; Salmoniformes; Salmonidae
Exons: 3
Source: RefSeq, a predicted model, not a curated record